GACGAACGCCGGCGGCGUGCCUAAUACAUGCAAGUCGAGCGAAUCGAUGGGAGCUUGCUCCCUGAGAUUAGCGGCGGACGGGUGAGUAACACGUGGGUAACCUGCCUGUAAGACUGGGAUAACUUCGGGAAACCGGAGCUAAUACCGGAUAGUUUCUUUUCUCACAUGAGGAGAGAUGGAAAGAUGGUUCUGCUAUCACUUACAGAUGGACCCGCGGCGCAUUAGCUAGUUGGUGAGGUAACGGCUCACCAAGGCAACGAUGCGUAGCCGACCUGAGAGGGUGGUCGGCCACACUGGGACUGAGACACGGCCCAGACUCCUACGGGAGGCAGCAGUAGGGAAUCUUCCGCAAUGGACGAAAGUCUGACGGAGCAACGCCGCGUGAGCGAAGAAGGCCUUCGGGUCGUAAAGCUCUGUUGUUAGGGAAGAACAAGUACGAGAGUAACUGCUCGUACCUUGACGGUACCUAACCAGAAAGCCACGGCUAACUACGUGCCAGCAGCCGCCGCAG
This 511-nucleotide ribosomal RNA is filed under the name uncultured bacterium. RNAcentral describes it as "partial 16S ribosomal RNA". It matches the Rfam family "Bacterial small subunit ribosomal RNA", at positions 28 to 523 of the family's 1533-position model. The record is from RNAcentral.